Molecule: long non-coding RNA, 545 nt
Filed under: Dromaius novaehollandiae (emu)
Lineage: Eukaryota; Metazoa; Chordata; Aves; Casuariiformes; Dromaiidae
Description: lncRNA (ENSDNVG00000015560.1)
Source: RNAcentral
UAGGAUAUUUGAUAAUGAUGGACAGGGGCACUUUCAAAAUUGCUAAUAAAAUGGCUUUGCUUUGGGAAUGUUCUGACUUGCUACAGCUCACUAGCGCCUAAAAAAAAGCAUAACCAUGAGUUUAAUUACGUGUGUGUGUGUGUGUGUGCGCGCGCAUACACAUUCAUAUUGUGUGUGAGAAGGGAAGGAAGAACAAUUUUUACAUCACUGGUAGAGGUGUGCAAGCAAAUUAGAAGGACUUUUAAGAAUAGCUGGUUGGUAAUGCAUGGAUACCUUUCCACUGAAUGACAGACAACUUUUUUUUUUUUUUGCCAGCCCUACCAGCAAGAGUGGCCCCCUUUGCCCAGCUGUGUCCCAUAAGGGGAUGUAAUGAGCAGUCAUUUAUGCGGCAGAAGAUAUGUCUGGCUUGAGAGCUUUGAGGUGCUACCAUGUCCUGAUCCAGCCUCCUGUUGGGGGAUGAACCAGAACUGGACACCCAUCUUCCCCACCAUGGGCGAUAUUAGCUGAGAACUACUUCAGACAGCUGCUACAUGAAAUACUGAACA